This 1041-nucleotide long non-coding RNA is filed under the name Parus major (Great Tit). Its description in RNAcentral is "lncRNA (ENSPMJG00000005537.1)". Lineage: Eukaryota; Metazoa; Chordata; Aves; Passeriformes; Paridae. The record is from RNAcentral.
GAAGGACCUCAGCUUCUGAGACUGAAGAGACUUCUCUGCAGCCAUGAGCAAACAGCAUGGGAAAGCAAGGGCAUGAGGGAAAAGAGAAGUUCUCCCAAAGGAGGGGUUUUAACAUGGCUGAAGAAGGGAAUUAAGACUUCAGAUUGAGGCUUCAGCACCAUGUUAGUAUUUCUUCAUCCCUGAGCUGGAAUGGUUUCUCACUUUGCACUGUGGAGAUGCAAAAGAUGUAUGAGGAUACACCUUGUGGAGCAGAUACUGCACUGACCAUAAGGCUGUCCUGCAUCCCAUGGAAAAGGACCAGCCCAGCUCCCAGUGAAGACAUAAGAGAAACACAGAGAGAGCCUGCAGACUGGAAUUUCACCUUCUCACUCAAUUCAGCAUCCUCAGCAUCACCGAGUGCCCAGGAAAAGAGAGUGGAAAUCAAACAGAUCCAAACUGUACAAACAUCCAGGAGUUUUGCCUUCUGGCCUAAUGAUGCUACACAAGUACAGUUUGUCCAAAAAUGGGGAAAUUGUUCUUCAGUUAAGAGGGAUUUGGAAUUUCUGCCUUGUCAGAAGUUUGGAAGUGAACAUGAAGAUCCUUGUUUUAAAUUACAUUUCUGCCAGAGAUCUCCAUCUAUUUUUACUGAAAAUCCAAAUUUUAGAACAACCUCCUCAAUCUGUUGGUUUUCCUUACUCAUUUCUUACUUAUUUUUGUUACUUCCUUUGAGUAGGCAGUUCACUUAGCCCAUUCCUCUGCAAUGUCUUAUGCACAAAAAAAAAAGUGUUAAAAACUAAUGGCCUAGACUCCAUGUCAAAGCAUAAGGCCAGAUCUCACUCUGUAUUAUCUCUGUUACUACUCUGUUACUACAGAGAUAAUACAGUUUUGCAACUUGAAAAAUGUUUGUGGCAUUACGAAUUGCUUCUGUCCUCUCAAAUGUAUCACUUCUUGAGUGUGAGGUUGUGUUUCUGGAUGAAUUUAAAUUCAGCCAAUGUUUGCCUUGCUGUGAACAGAAGUAGUAUGAAACCAGUCUAUUAAAUAAAGUCUAAAGGGAGAAGGGCA